AUGGCACUGAAGGACCGGCCUCCCAAGGGGGACAGUUUGGUGCGUUGGACAUUUGUAUCACUGUGGUACACGUUCGGUGGAGGAACCAGACUGGAAGUUAACUUGGGUCGAGUCGCCCCCACCCUGACGGUGCUGCCCCCCUCCAGCCAGGAGCUGCAGCAGGGGAAGGCCACGCUCACGUGUCUGGCCAACAAGGGCUUCCCCUCAGACUGGAGUCUGGCCUGGAAGGUGGACGGCAGCAGCAGCAGCAGCAGCAGCUGGGAGCAGAGCAGGAGCCCCGGGGUGCUGCAGGCGGACGGCCACUACAGGUGGAGCAGCACCCUGAGGCUCACUGCAGACCAGUGGGGGAAGGUGGGCUCUGUGACCUGUGAGGCCACCCAGGGCUCCCAGACUCCACUCUCAGAGACACUGAGGAGAGACCAGUGUUCCCAGUCCUGA
Scomber japonicus (chub mackerel) is the source of this 438-nucleotide non-coding RNA. NCBI's taxonomy places the organism in Eukaryota, Metazoa, Chordata, Actinopteri, Scombriformes, Scombridae. The record is from the annotation of a RefSeq genome assembly.